UAAUAUUGAUCCUCACCAUCGAAACCUCAUUAUGCGUCUCGCCGGAGCUCGCCGGAAUAUACUUUUUGACUCCCAGUCGAAGGUCCGGUACGUCUUGAUCGCUGUUCCAGCUUCAUUUCUAAGGUCUGGGUCGACCCAAUUGCUGUUUAUAACUCCGAUUGAUGGACAGCGACGGUGGUAGCCGCCGUUUCGUGAGGAUGUAGGGUUUUUAUUUGGGCGGAGACAAAAAUAAAAUGUUUGCUGGAAACGGUGGCGUUUUUGGUGUUGGCGGUAACAUCCAUUGUUUCUGACGUGGCAUAUUAUGCCACAUAAUCAAUACAGUUACCGCAGAGAGUUUAAACUUUAAAGAUAUUUCUUGAAGAACUUGGUGUUUUCCGCUGGAAAUUUGAAAUUCUUAUAGAGGUGGGGAGAUGUUUG
This 417-nucleotide long non-coding RNA is filed under the name Arabidopsis thaliana (thale cress). RNAcentral's name for it is "ncRNA (AT1G74205)". The record is from RNAcentral. Lineage: Eukaryota; Viridiplantae; Streptophyta; Magnoliopsida; Brassicales; Brassicaceae.